GUCAAGAGAUCAUAGUGAACCAGCAAGCUGUGGGCCUACACCACGAGAAAGGCCAUCCAAUCUCCAGAGAAUUUGGUAAGAAUUGGCAGUGGCCCGAACAUUGAUACCAUGAUUUCUUCAGGGGCAUUCAGGUAAGAAAUGGUAUAGAUCCCUUGCCCAUAUAGAAACCAUGUAUUUUCAUUUUCUAUGUUUUAAAGACAAUUUUUGUUUAUCUCUUGAGUGUUAGAGUAGUAUCAUAGCUAGGCAAUUAAGAUGAUGUUUCCUACCACAGUAGUGACCAUGGGAAUUUUGUCAGUGUCCUGUUAGGAAAUGUCUCACCUGACUGUGAUCUUGACCUUGGAGUAUACAAAGAUUCUGGUAUAGUUAAUGUUUUUCAAUGAUGAAAAUGAUAAAGACUUUUAGGAGAUGUCCUGGUAGAACAAGUUGUAUUCUUUUAUACAUAUAUCAUGUGUUUUUCAGGUUCAUGUGCUAAGCUCAUGAUGAACCUAAUGGUUAUUAACAGGUGACAGUUCUGGUAUCCAGGUAAGAGAUGGUACACACCUUCAUCACAUCACAGACCAGCCAGUCGUCACAUACUGACAUAAGUGAUGUUCAUUCUUGUUUGACCAUGGGCUUUUCUUUUUCUUUUUGCUAGAUUUUCAGGUAAGAAAUGAUCAUGUUUGACCAGUUGUAGAAACCAUGUUAUCCUACUGCUUUAUAUUUUAGAAAAAAAAAGUUGUUUAACCAUGUGAGUAUUGAGCAGUUUGCAAAUAUCUAUGUAAUUACUGUUAGUAGUGUGGUUUGGGUUUAUUUUUGUUGUUUUUGUGUGUGUGUGUGUGUGUUUGCUUUCUUACAGGUGAACAUUCAAGAGGUGAUGGCAUUUCUGACAGCGAGGUAGGCCUGUCUGUGAUUCUAGGUAGAUUUAAUGAGUCAUGGGAUGCCUGGAUGGUUGAGUCAUUUAAGCGUCUACUUUUGCCUUCAGGUCAUGAUCCCAGGGUCCUGGGAUCGAGCCCCACAUCGGCUCCUUGCUCAAUGGGGAGCCUGCUUCUCCUUCUGCCUGCCACUCCCUCUGCUUGUGCUCGUGCACGUGCUCUCUCUCUGACAAAUAAAUAAAAUCUUAAAAAAAAAAAAAUUCAGAGAGUCCUGCAGUGAUGCUAGUGACAAGGUUAUUAUCAGGGUCCAGGUAAUAAAGGUGUGUCAUAGCACAUCUACCGAAAUGUGUUCUUCAGGUUACUGGUAAGAUACCAUGGUAAUCCUCAUAAUGAUCGUUAAAGGGAUUUUGUUUGAAUCCAGGUAAGUGAUGAUGAUAGCCUUUUCCAUGCUCUAGACCAUCUAAUAUUUGGAUAGCUGAGUAAGUAUGGAUGGUAUUCCUAACCUUGUAUUGCUGGGUUUUUUUGCAGGUAUUCAGGUAAGAAAUGCUAUUGUCAAUCGAUGCUAGUAAGCAUUAGCCCUUAUUGUAAAGUUUAGAUAUAAUGUUUGUAUAACAUCAGUGAUAAUCAGAGAUUACAUAAGUGUCCAGGUAAGUUAGCAUUUUGCUCAUAUCCUCAUUCUUGAGCUGGCUUCUUACAGUUAUCUUGUCAAGACAGUGUUGUGUCUCUAACUGGGGGGUUGACCUUGUACUUCCGCAAGUUUCUAGGUAGAUUUGAUAGACCUCAUGAAUUUGAUGGGAUUUUUCAGAUGUUCAGAUAAUACAUGUAUUCCUAACGCAGUUUUUACCAUGAAAUUUUAUAGAAAUACACUCAAAAGAUGAUGGAAGGCCUUCAAGAAAAUAUACCAGGAAAAUCCCAGAUUAAAUACUAUGGUCGUGAUGAGCACCGGGUGAUGUACCCACUCAGGAGGAUAAAAGUGUCUUUAUUCAAGGUCUUCUCGCUGGAUUUUUGCAGGUGUUUUAGAUAUUCUGAGAAGAGAUGAUGGUGUCCCUAACAACACUAAUGACCGUAGUAGGAUUCUGCACAUAUCCAGUGAAGAGACGAUGGCAUCUCUAUCAACAUUGUUGUCUAUGGAAAUGAAAGAAAUAGAAUGUUUCUUUUUGAUUACCUAUAUAAUUUGUUAAAAGAAUUUUAAUGUUCAAUGACUAUUAAAUAUUAUUCAUGAUCAUA
Mustela lutreola (European mink) is the source of this 2078-nucleotide long non-coding RNA. RefSeq lists it as uncharacterized. Lineage: Eukaryota; Metazoa; Chordata; Mammalia; Carnivora; Mustelidae. The transcript is spliced from 3 exons. The record is from RefSeq and is a predicted model, not a curated record.